CAAUCCUUUAGGCCUUACCAGGACUGCUCUGCCACAUGCAUGGGGGACCUGGAAAAGAAGUAAUGAUGAGGGGCUGCCACUGGGGUUGGUGUCAAGACUGUCCUGCUGCCCAGGCUCCGUCCUGGCCUUGUCCCUCCCUACUUUGACACUGGGGUGCCUCUUCCUUGCUCCCUGAAGACACAAGCCUUUUCCUUUUCUCUCCCAAAUCAGGCCCGUUUCUUCAUCAGUUCUGGGGCACUUGUGUAGGGAUUGGGCAGGUGCCAAAUGGGCGUGUUGUGAUGUGGAUGUGGACCGCAGCCUCUGCAUAUCUGCAAGUGUCUGGGGGUGAUUGUCUCCAACCAAGCCACCAUAGAGAGGGCAACAGCUCUGAGAGGGAGAAGGGGUUAAGAAAGACAACAGAUAACUCAACUUCCCUUCAUGGAACCUGUUUGCAGCCAUGUCCUGCUGUCCUGGAGCACCAUCUCCCUCAUUCUGCCUCACCAGGCCACUGGCCCUCCUGCCUGCCCAGCUUCUCUGCUCCACAUUUGGGUCUUGCUCUGACAAUGGGUUGGAAGCUGUGGGGCUCUCCUGUGUGUCUUUCUUGUACCAUGAGCCCAGCUCCCAGUGAGGGGUGGAGACCAGCUCAGUCUUCACAACUCAACCUUCAGUUCCCAGUCAUGGUGGCUGCAGGGAGUCAAGACAGUUACAGGAGACGGAAGCACCAUGCAAUUCCAGCCAAAAGAACUGGACUAAAGACAGAGUGAGGUCCUUGCCAGCCUGGGGAUUCAUGUGCUCAGUUGGUGUCUGCAGCCUGGAGUCCCCUGCUUGAUGUGGGUUCAUGGUCUUCUGGUGGACAAGUUUGCCUUGAAGUGUCAGAAAUACUGUGAGGGCCACCCCCCAGACUGCUCUUCGGAAGGGUCUGGGGCACCUGGCUGCCCUCUCGGAAGGUCACCAACGGUGAGGAUGCAGCUGUUGUCCUGGAGCCUCUGACUUCCAUCCAAAGGACCCCACGUGCCUUCUGGCCAGCUUCGUGCAGACACACGCUGAGUACAGUGGUCAGCCUGGUGCAAGGCCCCAGAGGAGCAAGUGUGUCCAGGAGGAGACAAGACCAGUGCACAGUGGCGCCUCUUGGCUGAAUGUAUUUAUUCCUGUGACUCAGGCUGCAGUGUUCCUGGCUUGGAAAGAGCCAGGAACUCAGUGAUGAGCUUGCUGCUUCACAUGCUGGGCAUGGGCGGCCUCCAGGCUUGGACUUCCCUUGCAAGAGCAGGGCCUUCUGCCCCUGCCCACCUGGUUGCCAGUGUGGGUGGCUGUGACUAGCCAUGGAUCUUCCCUCUGGGGAUGGCUGUCUCAGCUGCUGGGCUCCAGCUGUCUGCAGGCUUGAUAAAUACCAAAUUGCACGUGUGGGGUUCUUCUUCCCAAGCCCUUGGGCAUGGGGUCUCUGUGCACUUAAGAGCUGGGGACCCACCUGCAUCUCACCCCAUUCCUCCCAGAGCAUGGGUCCCCCUGGGUGGCCGGCCCCUGCCUGCAAAGCCACCUUGUCCAGGAGAUGCUGCUAUGAAUUGCCAGUACUGUGAGGAGGAGGUGAAGGGUAGACCUUGAAAACAGCGCAACGUUAAGAGGAGAAACUGGCACUGCUGUUUGUAAGAGUGCAUUCCUUCCCCUUUCUGUCACUUUAUAGACCAAAAAG
This 1666-nucleotide long non-coding RNA is filed under the name Heterocephalus glaber (naked mole-rat). Its description in RNAcentral is "lncRNA (ENSHGLG00000043360.1)". The record is from RNAcentral. Lineage: Eukaryota; Metazoa; Chordata; Mammalia; Rodentia; Bathyergidae.